This 1799-nucleotide long non-coding RNA is filed under the name Anolis carolinensis (green anole). RNAcentral describes it as "lncRNA (ENSACAG00000039391.1)". Lineage: Eukaryota; Metazoa; Chordata; Lepidosauria; Squamata; Anolidae. The record is from RNAcentral.
AUACAGUAAUUACUACAUAGCAUCACUGUGUAUUGAACUACUUUUUCUGUCAAAUUUGUUGUAUAACAUGAUGUCUUGGUGCUUAAUUUGUAAAAUCAUAACCUAAUUUGAUGUUUAAUAGGCUUUUCCUUAAUCCCUCCUUAUUAUCCAACAUAUUCGCUUAUCCAAUGUUCUGCCGGCCCGUUUAUGUUGGAUAAGCGAGACUCUUCUGUAUUAAUACAUUUAUUAUUUUACUCUAUUUAUUAUUACAUUUAUUAUUUUACUGCAUUUAUUAUUAUUAUUAUUAUUACAUUUAUUAUUUCACUCUAUUAUUAUUAAAAGGAUACAGGGUGAACUACAAUUCCCAGAAUCGUGGGUCAAUCCUCCCCAAACCUGCCAGUAUUCAAAGUUGGUCAUUUUGGGUCUGUGUACCAAGUGUGGUCCAGAUUUGUCGUUGGCUGGGUUCAGUGCUCUUUGGAUGCAGGUGAACUACAACUCCUAAAAUCAAGGCCCAUUCCCACAAACCUCUGCAGUAUGUUCAGUUGGUCAUGAGGCUUCUCUGUGCAAAGUUUGGUCCCGGUCCAUUUGUCGGUGGGGGUCACUGUUUCCCUGGAUGCAGGUGAACUAUAACUCCCUUUCCCCCAAACUUGUCCAAUAUGUUCUGUUGGUUAUGGGGGCUCGGUGUGCCAAGUUUCCAACCGGCAGAACGUUGGAUAAGUGAAAAUGUUGGAUAAUAAGGAGGGAUUAAGGAAAAGCCUAUUAAAUGUCAAAUUAUGCUAUGAUUUUGCAAAUGAAGCACCAAAACAUCAUGUUUGAUAACAAAUCGACAGAAAAAGCAGCUUUUGUAUGAUAUUGUUUCUAGCGCUCACAUUUUGAUUGAUAUUCAAGCCGUGCUUCUUGUAGAUCAGAGCACAGUCCAGAGUGACUCCCAAGUAUUAUUAUCUGGUUGUCUGAGUAUUGGUUUCCUUCCUACUUUGGUGUCAAGGUUGGGUUUCCCAUUCUUCAGAAGUUGAUGCACUAUCUGAUCUGCCUUUAUGUUGGCAUAGGUAUUACUUUGUGAGGGAUCAUUGAGCAACUGUCUUAACAGCCUCCACGCCUUCUGACUGCUCCUGCCCAUUUCAAUGUCCGAAAUCGUGAAGCUGGAAAAAAAAAGUUAAAUGCCUCUGUGUCUGUCUAUAUAUGUUGUUUGUAUGUUGGCACUGAAUGUUUGCCAUAUAUGUGUUCAUUGUAAUCCGCCCUGAGUCCCCUUCGGGGUGAGAAAGAAGGGCGGGAUAUAAAUACUGUAAAUAAAUAAAUAAAGAGUUUGUAAACCACAAUUCUCCUGAGGGAUUCCAUAGCAUUCAACCAAGGCAGUCAAAGUGGUAUCAUACUACAUUCAAUCUAUGGUGUAGAUGCACCCUUACUACUGAAAUGGUUAGAUUCGCCACAACCAUCUUUGAAGAUUUUCUGUCGACUGGCCGCAACCGUCUGAUGACAUUUCUCCACAAGACAUGAGCUGGAAAAACUAUAAUAAAAUAAAGGGAUUAAAAGCAGCAGAUUCCAGAAGAAUUCAGGAAGUGACCUGUAUUGAUCCAAGGAAAUGAAGGUUUCUUCUUCCAAAGACUGGGCGCCUUCAGUGGAAAAGGAGCCAGCAGGAUGCCGGCAAAGGAACGCCGGCUAAUGAAGAUGGGUGCAAGGAAUGGCCUGCUGACAAAUGAUGUGGUGAUGGGCAAGUUUACCUAGCGGUUACUUGAGAUGGAGCCGGAAAUUACUCUAUGCAAGCAGCUGCAACGGAGUGUAAAGGGAUGAACACGCAGGAGAAGGUUUUAAGGCAGGAGAAG